RNAcentral lists this transfer RNA (74 nucleotides) under Candidatus Aenigmatarchaeota archaeon. RNAcentral describes it as "tRNA-Pro". It matches the Rfam family "tRNA". Rfam says of the family: Transfer RNA (tRNA) molecules are approximately 80 nucleotides in length. Their secondary structure includes four short double-helical elements and three loops (D, anti-codon, and T loops). Further hydrogen bonds mediate the characteristic L-shaped molecular structure. tRNAs have two regions of fundamental functional importance: the anti-codon, which is responsible for specific mRNA codon recognition, and the 3' end, to which the tRNAs corresponding amino acid is attached (by aminoacyl-tRNA synthetases). tRNAs cope with the degeneracy of the genetic code in two manners: having more than one tRNA (with a specific anti-codon) for a particular amino acid; and 'wobble' base-pairing, i.e. permitting non-standard base-pairing at the 3rd anti-codon position. Lineage: Archaea; Nanobdellati; Candidatus Aenigmatarchaeota. The record is from RNAcentral.
GGGGUUGUGGUCUAGCUUGGUAUGAUGCCGGUCUUGGGCACCGGAGGUCCCCGGUUCGAAUCCGGGCAGCCCCA